Molecule: long non-coding RNA, 238 nt
Organism: Gossypium arboreum
Lineage: Eukaryota; Viridiplantae; Streptophyta; Magnoliopsida; Malvales; Malvaceae
Exons: 2
Source: RefSeq, a predicted model, not a curated record
GAGUGCUCGGAGCGUGGAUUAACUCCAGUCUCCAAUCAGGUAAUUUCCAACCUUAGACGGAUCGGAGCUGCGAGGGGCUCGGAGGAAGCCACACACACUGUUUAUUUUAUAGUUUUGAUUAUUACUUUUAAAUGUUUUAUGUGGGUUGUAGUAAAGCCUUUGUAAUUUUCUGGAUUUCAAAUUUGAAAUUUUACUUGUUGUUCUUAUAAUUGGUAGUAUUAGAACACGGUUUUCCAAA